GAUUUUAUUUAACAAACUUAAUAUGAACAUGACUUGAAAAAGAAUGUUUGGGGAAACCAUUAAGUCCUAACUUUUAUAAAAUUGCCCACUCUGAAUUCUUAAUGUGCCAUCACUUUCUUUCUCAAAUAUUUAGAUGUAGGUCACAAUUAUAAGUCAAGAAAUAGUUUUGGUGCAAAAUGAUGUGAAUUCUCUUUUUAAAAGCUCCCCAGACUGAUAAAAGUGUACGUAUAUCAUUCGUUGAA
Lactuca sativa (garden lettuce) is the source of this 242-nucleotide non-coding RNA. NCBI's taxonomy places the organism in Eukaryota, Viridiplantae, Streptophyta, Magnoliopsida, Asterales, Asteraceae. The record is from RefSeq and is a predicted model, not a curated record.